GCGUCGAAGGCGGCGGGCGGGGUGGCCCGAGCGGCGACGGUGCCGGGCGGCCGGGCGACCCGGCCGGCGCCACUCCUCCCCCGACCAGCACUCUUCUCCUCCCCGGCCGACGUCUCUUCUCUCCCGGCGCUGCCCAGGCACGGGGAGGCGGGCGCCGGACGUGGAGUGGAGCGCCGACGCCGGACUUGGAGCGGGGUGGCCGGCGUCGGACGUGGAGCAGGCGGCGGCGCCGGACGUGGAGUGUGGCGCCAUCGCCGGACUUGGAGCGAGGCGGCCGGCGCCGGACAUGGAGCGGGACGAGGAGAUCGGAGGCGAGCGCGCGCGCGGAGCAACGAUGGAGAAGCCACUCGCUCCAAGCGCGGUUGCGGCGCUCUCUCCCUGCCCCAUGCGACCCUCGAUAUCACCGGAGAACUUGUGACCUUCUUUGGACGCGAGGACCUCAGGUUGGUGGGCCCAAACACGGACGUGGCGCUGAAUGCCAACUCAUUGCAUUAUGAACGUGGCAACCCAUUCACAGUGCACGUGGUCUCACAGCCCCAAGCCGGGCCGAGCUCCUCCGCCACCGACGGGAGAGGCGGCGGGGCUUGGCGCUCGCCGGCGCACCACCCUCCUCUCCCUCCUCCCACCUCCCAUGAAACAACGGCGAGGUCGGCACGCGGAAGCGGGCGGCGGAGGAAUCGGCGGCGGGGGAGCUCGGCGGCGGGGGAGCUCGACGUCGGCCGGCGAGGGCGCCGUCGCUUCACCACCUCUGCGGGCGAGCUCCUCUCGUCGCCGCCGGAUGGGAUGGCGAACUCGGCACGGAUCUGGCUCGGAUUCGGCGCCCCUACUCCUCUUCCUCUCCGGCGAGCUUUUUCACUCACUCACUCUCCUUGCUAUGUGGCAUGUGUUUCUCUCACAAAAUUUGCUGAGGUUCUCAGAGCCAAAACUAGCCAUGCGAACCUGGUGAAAACGUGGGCCCCAUCUCCUUCUCUCCUCCAUGCACGCAUUGGACCGACAUGGACAGAGAUUACCACACGCCACCUCACCGCAUCGUGA
Molecule: long non-coding RNA, 1035 nt
Filed under: Oryza sativa Indica Group (long-grained rice)
Lineage: Eukaryota; Viridiplantae; Streptophyta; Magnoliopsida; Poales; Poaceae
Description: lncRNA OsLima_01g0038330
Source: RNAcentral